This 570-nucleotide small RNA is filed under the name Pan troglodytes (chimpanzee). Its description in RNAcentral is "retained intron". Lineage: Eukaryota; Metazoa; Chordata; Mammalia; Primates; Hominidae. The record is from RNAcentral.
CUGGUCCCAGAAACCUGGCCGCACCAAGUCAGCGCUUCCCAUGCUGGAAGAAGCAAGCAGCCCCAGGGUGGAAUCUUAAAAAUUAAUGAAGAGCAUCGGCGGGGUGCCAUUCAGGACUUACUUGCAAGCCCAGGAUUUACAUUUGGAAAGCGAGUGGUGUUUGAUUCCCACUGUUUAAAAAGGCAACACACGUUCGCUGAUGGUCUACAUUCCAGCUGCACUAGCAGUAAGCUCGCACCAAGUGCCACUGUCCUGCCAAGCACUCUCCUGAAUCACUGCGCUGGAGUCUCAGAGCCACCUGAUGUGUUCUGUACCAUUAUACCCAUUUUGCAAGUGGGGGACACAAACUAAGUGAGGUUAAGUAACCCGUCCAGGGUCACAUUGCUUGUAAGUGACCUGAGUGUUUAUUAUUAGCCACCACCAGGUGCUGGGCAUUGAGCCAGACAGUACGGGAGCAAGAACUAAAAAAGGCAAGGAGGUUGCAAUGGCAAGUAGAUAACACAAAAUAAAGGAGGGUCAUCAUUAUCAGCAACAGCAGCGUCAACUGCCAGACAGGUGGGAGAGGCCACG